GUCGAGCGAGGUUACUGUUUUGGAUCCCUUCGGGGUGAAGAAGCUUUAACCUAGCGGCGGACGGGUGAGUAACGCGUGGGUAACCUACCCCAAAGUCCGGGAUAACAGCGGGAAACCGCUGCUAAUACCGGAUGCCUUUACCUUGGGGCAUCUUGAGGUAAAGAAAGGCAACGCUUUGGGAUGGGCCCGCGUCCCAUUAGCUAGUUGGUGAGGUAACGGCUCACCAAGGCGACGAUGGGUAGCCGGCCUGAGAGGGUGGACGGCCACACUGGGACUGAGACACGGCCCAGACUCCUACGGGAGGCAGCAGUAGGGAAUAUUGCGCAAUGGACGGAAGUCUGACGCAGCGACGCCGCGUGAGCGAUGAAGGUCUUCGGAUCGUAAAGCUCUGUCCUUGGGGAAGAAGGUCUUCGGACUUGACGGUACCCAAGAAGAAAGCCCCGGCUAACUACGUGCCAGCAGCCGCGGUAAUACGUAGGGGGCGAGCGUUGUCCGGAAUUACUGGGCGUAAAGGGUGCGUAGGCGGCCCUUUAAGUCGGAUGUGAAAGCCCGCGGCUUAACCGCGGAAUGGCAUUCGAAACUGGAGGGCUUGAGUGUCGGAGAGGGUAGUGGAAUUCCCAGUGUAGCGGUGAAAUGCGUA
This 640-nucleotide ribosomal RNA is filed under the name uncultured bacterium. Its description in RNAcentral is "bacterial SSU rRNA". It matches the Rfam family "Bacterial small subunit ribosomal RNA", at positions 61 to 692 of the family's 1533-position model. The record is from RNAcentral.